AAUAGAUACCCGGGUAGUCCACGCCGUAAACGAUGAAUGCUAGGUGUCAGGGGUUUCGAGACCCUUGGUGCCGAAGUUAACACAUUAAGCAUUCCGCCUGGGGAGUACGGCCGCAAGGCUGAAACUCAAAGGAAUUGACGGGGACCCGCACAAGCAGUGGAGCAUGUGGUUUAAUUCGAAGCAACGCGAAGAACCUUACCAGGUCUUGACAUCCCCCUGACCGGCGCAGAGAUGUGCCUUUCCCUUCGGGGACAGGGGAGACAGGUGGUGCAUGGUUGUCGUCAGCUCGUGUCGUGAGAUGUUGGGUUAAGUCCCGCAACGAGCGCAACCCUUAGGUCCAGUUGCCAGCACUUCGGGUGGGCACUCUGGAGCGACUGCCGGUGACAAACCGGAGGAAGGCGGGGAUGACGUCAAAUCAUCAUGCCCCUUAUGACCUGGGCUACACACGUGCUACAAUGGCCGGUACAAAGGGCAGCGAAGCCGCGAGGCGGAGCCAAUCCCGAAAAAGCCGGUCUCAGUUCGGAUUGCAGG
RNAcentral lists this ribosomal RNA (531 nucleotides) under uncultured bacterium. RNAcentral describes it as "bacterial SSU rRNA". It matches the Rfam family "Bacterial small subunit ribosomal RNA", at positions 777 to 1304 of the family's 1533-position model. The record is from RNAcentral.